GGACUACUCGGGUAUCUAAUCCUGUUCGAUACCCACGCUUUCGUGCAUCAGCGUCAGUUACGACCCAGCAAGCUGCCUUCGCAAUUGGUGUUCUGUGUAAUAUCUAAGCAUUUCACCGCUACACUACACAUUCCGCCUGCCUUGAACGUACUCAAGACUAACAGUAUCAACGGCAAGUUCCCAGUUAAGCUGAGACAUUUCACCGCUGACUUAUUAACCCGCCUACGCACCCUUUAAACCCAAUAAAUCCGGAUAACGCUCGGAUCCUCCGUAUUACCGCGGCUGCUGGCAC
RNAcentral lists this ribosomal RNA (292 nucleotides) under uncultured Bacteroidota bacterium. RNAcentral's name for it is "uncultured Bacteroidetes bacterium partial 16S ribosomal RNA". Lineage: Bacteria; Pseudomonadati; Bacteroidota. The record is from RNAcentral.